RNAcentral lists this ribosomal RNA (484 nucleotides) under uncultured bacterium. RNAcentral describes it as "partial 16S ribosomal RNA". It matches the Rfam family "Bacterial small subunit ribosomal RNA", at positions 28 to 507 of the family's 1533-position model. The record is from RNAcentral.
AUUGAACGCUGGCGGCAUGCUUUACACAUGCAAGUCGAACGGCAGCGCGGGCUUCGGCCUGGCGGCGAGUGGCGAACGGGUGAGUAAUGCAUCGGAACGUGCCCAGUAGUGGGGGAUAGCCCGGCGAAAGCCGGAUUAAUACCGCAUACGACCUGUGGGUGAAAGCGGGGGACCGAAAGGCUUCGCGCUAUUGGAUCGGCCGAUGUCGGAUUAGCUAGUUGGUGGGGUAAAGGCUUACCAAGGCGACGAUCCGUAGCUGGUCUGAGAGGACGACCAGCCACACUGGGACUGAGACGCGGCCCAGACGCCUACGGGAGGCAGCAGUGGGGAAUUUUGGACAAUGGGGGCAACCCUGAUCCAGCCAUGCCGCGUGCGGGAAGAAGGCCUUCGGGUUGUAAACCGCUUUUGUUCGGGAAGAAAUACUCUGGGCUAAUACCCCGGGGGGAUGACGGUACCGGAAGAAUAAGCACCGGCUAACUACGUG